Daucus carota subsp. sativus is the source of this 383-nucleotide long non-coding RNA. RefSeq lists it as uncharacterized. The record is from RefSeq and is a predicted model, not a curated record. NCBI's taxonomy places the organism in Eukaryota, Viridiplantae, Streptophyta, Magnoliopsida, Apiales, Apiaceae. The transcript has 4 exons.
ACUCCAGUGAUAAUCAUCAUAACAAGUUGCAAAGUAGGCUUAUGGAAUGGUGCAGUGCAAUUAUCUAAUACAGCUGCGUCAAAAUUCUAUCUAAACUCAAGUGAUCCAAGUGUUAGAGAACUCAGAAAAAUCUUGAAAAAACCAGGUACUGUUUUAAGAACUAUAGGGAAACCAAAAAGGAAGAUACCCGAGUUGCAUUCCAUUGACUCAAUUCAUACUCUUGGGAAAGAGUACAUAGAGACAGAGGUGAUUACACACGUAAAGUUUGUGGCUGUUGACGAGAGUGUACCAUGGUACAGAAAUGUUUGCACCACCUGUUGGAAUGAAGUGCACAUCAACAAUGACCAGUUCUUAUGUUCUCUAUGUAACAGAAUAAUACCUCA